Molecule: long non-coding RNA, 1158 nt
Filed under: Numida meleagris (helmeted guineafowl)
Lineage: Eukaryota; Metazoa; Chordata; Aves; Galliformes; Numididae
Description: lncRNA (ENSNMEG00000000544.1)
Source: RNAcentral
AGACAGGAAAUAAGCUUUCCUGCUUGAGUAGGAAAUGCAGGCAACUUGAACUCACAAGAAAGAAGUCAGAAAGUGUACUACUCCCUAUAAAAAGGGGAAGACUUGUGGAAAAUACACCAUUUUUUGCCUGUCUCAGUGAAAGCUAGAAAGCAAAUCUCUUCACACUUCUUGAGAGAGAAGGUUGUGUCCAGACUUGAAAAUUAAGGAAGUCCCACAGCCUUUCUGAGCUUUACACUGGGAGGAAAAUGAACUGCCUGAGCAGAGGAUGAAUGUUGUCUUGGGUCACCAUCAAGAUCUUGACCUGCCUAACUGAUGUGACUCAGGGAAAGAGGGGGAAACUGAGACGGGCGAUCAGCAUGCGUGCAGGGAGGAAGGUGAUCCCAGCCCGAAGUAAGUGGGCUCACCCAGCGCCAUAGAGAGAAGCAUACAGGUGGGGGUUGUUUAUUGUAGCAUUCAGCCGUAGGUAGAGGAUUUAACGCUGACCAGCUUGCUACGAACAUAAUAUAUUAGCCUUGUAUUUAUUUAUUGCGGGACCCUUUAGUUUUAUUUAUUGACUGUCAUUCCCUGCUGUACUGCAGGCAAUGCUGUCACUGUAUUUUCUUAAAACUUUCACGAUAAAUUUGUAAACAUAAAAUAUUCCAGCUGUCACGUAUUUUUCUCCUGUGUUUUCCAGACACUUUGGCUUUUGUAGAAGUAAUGUCGGUUGUUUACUUGAUUCUGACUCUGAAAAAAAAAACCCUAGGUACUUUCUAGUUUCAGAUGUUUUGUGUGAUUGUAAAACAGAAAGAAACCAGUUUUGACUUGGAGAGCGAGCUACUGCAAACAAUCUGUUGCUAAUAUAGUCUAAUUGCUAGUGAUAUUUUGAGAAAACAAUUAAAUUGGAAGUGGGGUUACUUUGGUGUUUAUUGUCUGUGACAGCUUCUUUUGGAAACAGACUCUGAGAGCUGCCGAGCUGAGGCUGCGAUGAUGUGCAAAUAAUACGUAUCAUAAAUACAGCGCCAGCCGAGACGGGGGGAGUUGGAGACCCAGGAAUGUCGAGGCAGGCAACGAGAUGUCACCUUGGCAGAGGUGGGCAUCGUCCUGUGUUCAUGCCCUGGGGCAUCACUGCCGUCCUUCCUCUGUGCUAGGACCCUGAGGACACUUGGCUGCCUGCUGGUC